Molecule: unclassified non-coding RNA, 4923 nt
Filed under: Haliotis rufescens (red abalone)
Lineage: Eukaryota; Metazoa; Mollusca; Gastropoda; Lepetellida; Haliotidae
Description: n(G),N(G)-dimethylarginine dimethylaminohydrolase 1- like, transcript variant X4
Source: RNAcentral
CUGCAGGGGUACUUGUCGGUCGUCAUAACUGUCUUUCACGGCAGUCGGUCAGUAACGCGAGGACGCGUCGGAAUUGCAGUCAGCAGUGUCCCCAAUCUGAGCGAUAAUCCAGUAGCUCACUUAGUUUCAGAAUCGGCGAUCGCGUGAGUGACAAGUAUUUGUAGGUGUGUUCAGUUUAUUGAAGCCGGUUGUCAUCAACGAGUUUGACACGCCCACUUGUCUCUGCUUUUCCGGUUUGAAGAAAAGGGAGAAAACUCGUCAGCGUCAUAUACAGGACAUUCAAAAUGGCGGCUUUUCACUACAAUUACGCGAUUGUGUCUCGUAUUCCUAACAGUUUCAAAGAUAAAGCAAUUACUGCUGGAAAUGAACAGAUCGACGUAGAGAAGGCGAGAGAAGAGUACAAGGAACUGCUGGUUGUGCUACAGAAAUGCGAUAUAAACCUGAUCGAACUUCAGGAAGAUGAGAAGUACCCCGACUGUUGUUUUGUCGAAGACACGGCUGUUGUGAUCGGGGGGACAGUUCUCAUCACUCGGCCAGGCCAUCCCUCGAGACAAGGGGAGGUUGGUGAGAUCCGCCGAGUUCUGAAAAAUGACCUUCACUUCAACGUGAGUGAGAUGAAAGAGGCUGAUGCCAAGCUGGAUGGAGGAGACGUUCUGUUUACAGGAAAAGAAAUCUUUGUCGGCGUUGGCAAAAGAACAAAUAAUGCAGGAGCAACAGCAGUGGCGACAGCAUUUAUUGAUUACGAUGUCGUCCCCAUCAACAUCGGCGACACGGAUGUCCUUCACCUUAAAGAUGCUGUCAAUGUCAUUGGACGGGAAGAGCUGGUAGUUGCAGGGGGUGACGGUCCACGGACUAUCAUGAAGCGUAUGGAUGCCCUAAAGACGUUCAACUACAAGAUCCUGCAGAUGCCGAGCCCGCUGGGGGCAGACAUGCUGUACCUGAACGGCCGACUCAUCCACAGAACCAAUGAGGAACUCACCAAGGAGGGCUAUGGGCUGCUGGAUGAGAAGCUGCAGUGCACACGACACCAGACGUCGCUGAGGGAACUGAGCAAGGCGUAUGGAACCAUCAGCAGCAUGUGUAUACUGCUCCGUAUCAACCGGCGCAUACAGAAGGUUCUGUCCAACGUCACAGAGCCCGACCUCACACAGUUCCUCAGCAUUGGCCACCAGAAGCCCUGAGUUGACGACCACACAACGCUUAAACUCUCAAAUAUCCUCUGUCUUAACGCUAUGUCUCCUUUAUAGGUAGGAUAUAUGACUAGUAUUAACAUCAGGAUGUUCUGCGCUAACUCUCAUCAUCAGUGAUUUGUACCAGGAAGGAUGUGAUAGUUGAUUCAAGCCAAUUUGUAUGUAAAUAAGGGAAGUUUGUACAUUGUGAGUAUAGGAGAGAGCUGAGUAGGACCGCCGGGAUAUUGCCAAUUAGGUUGACAGUGAAAUUGAAACUGUUGCUUGGAAACCAACAUGGUUGCCAUGGUUACAUAGUCUGGUCUCCUGCUACAACGAAGUGUUACCGUGAUGAGGUUGGUACUUCGGUGUGUGGGGGUUGGGCAUUUUUAGACCUAGAUGGGUGGAUUGGGUGAGUGAAGAAUCAAAUUUUGAAUCAUGUACUGAUCUUCCCCAAUGGGACUAAAAAUAGGUUAAGUUUAUUGAGGAAAAUCAAGGUGAUAUUUGUAUGUAUAUUCUUUGUAGGAUAUGUAGGCUGUGCCAUGCUCUUCUGUGUAGUAUGCAGUGAUGUCAUUGGCUAGAUGACCAGGAUGUAUGAUAUAUUCCACACAUACAAGUAGCUGUAUACGAGAUUGUAAUAUGUUCCUUUAUAUGACAACUCUUAUGAGUCAAGGCGGUCUUCACCCAUUUUCGGUGGCCUAUCUGGAUAGUGCAGAACUUAUUUUCUUCUAUUGUACAGAUCAAGCAAUUUUUCAACUUAUUUUUGACGAUAUUUUUGCUGAAAUUCUUGUCGUUUUUAUAAACAUGUUUGAAAUACACUUGCAAUGAAUUGUAACAGGAAGUCAGUGUACAUACAAGACUGAAAUAAGUGAAAUAACUGUCAUGUUUUGAGUCUGUGGAUGUGCUUCUGGUUCAUGUUAGCUGUAUCUGUCGAGGGAGAUCAGGAUGCGUGGUCACUAACUGAUUCUUAGAUCAAUGUAAUGAUAACACAAACUGAUCCCUCGUAUAGAUUUGACCACACAAGUAGGUAAAGACCACAUUUCACCCUUGGACUACUCUAAAUACACAUAUGCUUAGAUUAAAUGAGCAAGAUCAGCAUAUUGUGACAAAGAACUAGGUCAGUCCUGAGAGAUUGGCAAAUGGGUCUGGAGGAUAUAACAGCUUGUGUCUGUCUUUGUAACAUGGAACAUUAUUUGCAAAUUUCCCUGUACUGUACCCCCCAGAGUAUCUCGUAUUGUAACACCCGCUCUUGUGUGAUGCUAGGGCAUAACUCAGACAUACCAUACUUCAUCUGGCGCCUGUGCCGCCGAGGCUCCUGCAGGAACUCACCAAUCCAGUGCUGUCAUGGAGAUGUGUUACCAUGGUGAUUCUGUAGCAAUGUGGAGUUUACAGAGCAUCUACAGAUUGUUUCAUUGUAUUGUUAUAUUGUUAGCUCACCUGGACUUGUUCCAUGAUCUGUUGUCUUUCAUUAACUGUUAACCUACCCAUCUGCAUGUGUUAAACUGUUGAAUGCAGUCUCACUACUAAGACUUGUGUGAAGCUUAUUUCUGGUGUCCCCUGCAAUGGUGUUGCUGGAAUAUUGCUAAAAGUGGCGUAAAACUGUACUAACUCACUCACUCACUCACUUAGAUUUAUGCUGCAAGAUGCUUACUUUACCAUUGACCAACAGAAAGACUAGAAGGAUUAGACUACAUAAAUUCAUCAUCAGCUGAAACAUGAUAACAUUUCAUGUGAUUAAGCCAGGUGAGCUACAGAGCUCUCGGCUCUAUGUUUCCAUUGUUAAUUGUUACUCACAGAUAUACGAAAUAUUUUUUUAUAAUUUUGUAAUCUACUACACAUGAAUAUUGAUACGUUUCAUGUAGUGCCGAACAUCAUCGACCACAGGGUGGCCAUUGGGCCGACAUCCAGGACAUGAGACAUCCCUGUUUAUCUUUGCUUCCUGGCAAAAAUCCACGAGGUGUAGUUCAGGAUCUCCCCAAUCAUGUUAAUAGAAAUGUUUCUUGUGUAUCAGAGUUUCUGAGGAGUUUGAAAUGAAAUCUUUGUCAUAAAGCUCUCUUGAUUAAAACGUUUGGGUUAUUCAGGCCAUUCUUUUCUUGUUAUUCAUCUUUGUUGCUGGGAUGUGAAAGAUUAUUGAUAUAUUUGAUAUAGUUUCUGUGAAAUGGUUUGUAUAAUAUUUCCCUGUAGCAGAUAUCCUACAGUUGAGAUCCUGUAGUAGAGAUCCUACAGUUGAGAUCUUGUAGUAGAGAUACUACAGUAGAGAUCCAACAGAAGAGAUCCUACAGUAGAGAUCCAACAGAAGAGAUCCUACAGUUGAGAUCCUGUAGCAGAGAUCCUACAGUAGAGAUCCUGUACCAGAAAUACCGUACUUGUACAGCGAUCCAGUGGCAUAGAUCCAACCAAGGUGUUUAUAUUCAUCCUUUAUUUAUCAUAAAAAUGUCCCCAUUCUUCUGGGGGACAUCGGAGGUCAGUGUUUUGCUUGCAUAUCAUUAGCCUAUCAUGUUUUGCUUCGCUGUUCUAUACAUUUUAGCUCAUCUGUUGAAUGUUUGUGUGACUGAUUGCAAUCCCAUUUACAAGGUCUGUGGCAGGUUUUCUCUCCUUCCUCACCUUGACCAUCAAACAUCAGCAAUAACUGUGUGUGUUACGUCCUGUGUUAUUGUAUGGUCUUUGUUGUGAUGAAUGAAAAUUGAACAAAAGCAUGUUCUUUUUAUGGAAUAAGUACUGGACAUCAGAAUAAGCAAUUGUACUUUUCAGACAGUGUUUGUGUUACCAUGUAGACAGAUCCAAUUAUUCCCCUGAGUGCCAGGUCAUUGCAUCUUGCGUCUGUGUUCAAGACACAGCUCCAUGCCCUGAGUGCCAGGUCAUCUCAUCUUAGGUCUGUGUUCAAGACACAGCUCCAUGCCCUGAGUGCCAGGUCAUCUCAUCUUGGGUCUGUGUUCAAGACACAGCUCCAUGCCCUGAGUGCCAGGUCAUCUCAUCAUGGGUCUGUGUUUAAGACACAGCUCCAUGCCCUGAGUGCAAGGUCAUCUCAUCUUGGGUCUGUGUUCAAGACACAGCUCCAUGCCCUGGGUGCCAGGUCAUCUCAUCUUGGGUCUGUGUUUAAGACACACCUCUAUGAUUGAGGAUGGCAAAAUCCUUUUUUCCCUCAACAAUGUUAAAUAAGUGGCAUCGAUGCAGAAAUGCCAAACAUGAUAAAGUGAUUAUCUUGACACCCCCUGAACAUGUCAUUCUGUUCAUGCUGGUCAUUGUCCAGAGUCUCACACUUCCUGGUCUGCAGGGUGAAGACUUGCACAAUCAUCUCCAUGGUUAAUCCAGUGAGAGGUGAGGUGUCGGGGUGGGAGGUGGACAGCUUUCAGCCUAGUAUCUGCAAUGUUGGAUAUAUGCAAACCUCUUCCUUUGUUCAGUGUGUGACACUAACGAUUUAACACACUAUCUCUGUACGAUUGUUAUGUAGGAUUAGUUGAUAUGCUAUGAUAUACAGACUUGUAUCAACCUUGUACUUUGACAUGCCAGUUAUACAUGUUAUGCCAUGCCCAGUCUGACAAUGUUGCUGUAUCAAGCAGUUGGGGUGUACAGCAGUUGUUACAUUGUGGGCAGUGUAGGAGAUAUUUGUCUAUAUUCAGCCUGGUGCCCAGUAGUUACAUGAAGGUCACCCAGUCUAGCUUGCCACUAUUUUCCUUUGACUCUUAAAUGCAUUCUUUGUAUUGCUUGUCAAUUUUUUUGAUAUAUUUAGUCUUUAAUAAAACAUAGUUGAACAGUU